Molecule: long non-coding RNA, 274 nt
Filed under: Musa acuminata (dwarf banana)
Lineage: Eukaryota; Viridiplantae; Streptophyta; Magnoliopsida; Zingiberales; Musaceae
Description: long non-coding RNA (MACU_LNC000394)
Source: RNAcentral
GAGGGAUAAGGCUGGAGUGGAUAGAUAGAGAGAGGGCGGAGAAGGCCGGAGAAGAAGGGUGAUGACGAGUCUUCGGCUGGCGAUGGACACGGCGUUCUGGGACCUGAACGUGUCGUCGGCGCAAAACCUGGAGGGCACGGCCCGGGCCGUCCCCGGGGAGGCGGCGCCGUUGGGGAUGGCCCGGGCGAGCCGCCUCCUCCGCCCGCAGCAGCUCUCCUUCCUCUCCCGCGCCUUCCCCCUCGGCCUCGUCCCUUCCUUCGCCCCGACCCCCCGC